ACCCACCUGACGAGUCCCAAAAUAGGACGAAAUGCGCGUCCUGGAU
RNAcentral lists this non-coding RNA (46 nucleotides) under Schistosoma haematobium. The record is from RNAcentral. Lineage: Eukaryota; Metazoa; Platyhelminthes; Trematoda; Strigeidida; Schistosomatidae.